Molecule: long non-coding RNA, 3791 nt
Filed under: Homo sapiens (human)
Lineage: Eukaryota; Metazoa; Chordata; Mammalia; Primates; Hominidae
Description: PREDICTED lncRNA (TCONS_00170169)
Source: RNAcentral
AUUCUAAAUAAUACUGUUAAUAUAACCUAGACUAAUCAGGUAGUUAACUGGAAUGUGAUGAAAACAUUUAAGGCUUAAUUUUUUAGACUUACAAAAGCCACUGAUCUUUAAUGAUAAACAUAUACCAGGAUGUGUCUAAAGAAUAACUCCCCCCUUCUUGACACAUGGCUUUUCUGUGUCUUGGCAUUCCAUCGCAGUACUGAGCAUCCUGAACGUUGCUUUGUUUGUCUCUGUUGGGAGUCACAGGUUGCAUCCAGUCUGACCCAGGUUUGCUCUGUAAGGCAUUGUGGGGGCCAGAGUGGAAGGCUCUAAGAGAGGGGGCAAAUGUCUUUUCUAAAAUGCCCUUCGUUCUUAUAAUUAGAGCAUAAAAAUUAAUGUUACAUUUUUCUCUACUACCAGUGUAAUUUAAAAGCAUCUAUCAAUUCUCUGUACGUGCUUCAUGUUAGAUUUCUGGUCAUAUGUUUGAUUUUCUUUUUAGAAUAGUCUUGAUUUCAGAUAAUUUCAAAUCUAAAGCUCAAACAAUUUCAAUCUAAAAUGUAGGUUUUUCUUACAGUUAGAGAAGUGAAAUGUUAUAUUUUUUCGUUGCAUGCAUCGGGCACAUGUGUUGUAGUCUUGAAUUUCCAUAAUGCUCCUGUGAGGUGGAUGUGAGCUCAGCCUUACAGACAGGAAGACAGCCUCUGACCCUCCUUACAUCCUCGUGGUUUUUGUCAGUCAGUUCAUGGAAAUCACAGUGAUUUCAAGGUGUGGUAAGACAGGAUGUGUACCCAGGCCCAGCUGACUCCAGAGGCCACUCUCCGUAUUUCAUAGCACAUUGCUUCUCAGGAAACAGGUCAUUGAGGAAAUGAAGAUGGGUUUGUGAUUACAUUUAAUUUUAUUUAUUUAUAUUUUAUUGUAUCAUGUGUAAAUUAUUUUACAUCUGGAUAUCAUCACAAAAGUGUUAUUGAAGGCAACAAUUGCAAGUAUAUGUGCAGUGCUUUGCACUUAUACAAAGAUACAAAGAUACACAAAGAUUGAGUUUUUCACUAUUUAAAGCAAUUUUCAGAUGAAAUACAAAGUUUUCUGGGUCUCUUUGUUUAGUCAAGUACUUGGAAGCUCUGAACAGUGAUUAUUUAGGACUCUUUUCAUACCAUUUAAUUGCAGGCUCUCCUAAUCUCUGUCAGACCUUCACCUUUAUGACCUUGCCUUAUCUACCAGAACACAGAUCCCUCUUACUAAAGAUUAGAUCCUGUGCUGAAAGAGAAACCAAGAAAAAAGAUGACAUUCCAGAAGAAGACAAAGGAAAUAUAAAACAAUGUGAAAUCAAUUACGUGUGUGUAUGCUUUUCCUUUUAGACCUACAGAUUUGACAGUGAAGUGCUUCUCAAAGUGCUUUCAAAAUAAAUUACCUAAUUAGCUGGGGAUGGUGGUGCAUGCCUGUAGGCCCAGCUACUUGGGAGGCUGAGACAGGAGGAUUGUUUGAGCCCAGGAGUUCAAGGCUGCAGUGAGCUCUGAUCACCACUGCAUUCCAGCCUGGGUGACAGAGCAAGAUCCCGUCUGAAAAAAUAAAAACUGAUGGACAAGAAGAAGCAACACGAUGUAGCCUCUAGGACAGAGCACUGAGCUAAAUUCUUUUCUUUUCUUGAGGGUUCAGUUUUCCUAAUCAUCCUACCAGCUCCCAAAGGUACUCAGUCGGGUUAGUCAACCUCUCUAUUCAUUCAUAGAAUGGGCGUGAUGCCAGUCAAAGGCUGUUCUCUGGCUAGGACACAGGGGACUCCAGCCAGCAUGCCCUAAUAGAAGUGGGGCUUUGUGCUACCCAGUCAAUGAGUGGCCCUCCUCUUGAGAGGUCACAAAGUUCAUCUUGUUGUUCAAAAGCUCCAGCUUAUUAAAAAAAAUGUACAAUUAGACUUUUUUUUUUUCUCCCCCAAGACGGAGUCUCGCUCUGUCCCCCAGAUUGUAGUGCUGUGCCAUGAUCUCAGCUCAUCGCAACCUCCGCCUCCCAGGUUCAUGUGAUUCUCCUGCCUCAGCCUCCCGAGUAGCUGGGACUACAGGCACAAGCCACUGCCCUCGGCCAAUUUUUGUAUUUUUAGUAGAGACGGGGUUUCACCAUGUUGGCCAGGCUGUUCUCGAACUCCUGACCUCAAGUGAUCUGCCUGCCUUGGCCUCCCAAAGUGCUGGGAUUGCAGGCGUGAGCCACUGCGCCUGCCCUACAAUUAGACUUUUUUAAUAAGUGAAAAAGAAAUUAACAGUAUUUAUAAAUUUAAUAGUAAAUAUGUAUAAUCAGAGUUUGAGGUAUUUUUCAAUGAAGACAUUUUCUUUGCAGAAAGAAAUUUCAGAGCUUCCAAGACCACAAACUUAAAAUAAGUAAAGAAGAGAGUAAAAUUCUUAAAAAGGCUCAGAAAGAUGGAUUUUUGCAUGAAACGCUUCUGGACAGGUAGCUAUUUACUUAUUUUCACUAUUUUUCAGUAGCCAAUAGAAAUGGCAUGUAGAAAAGCUAUAUUCUCUUAAAUUACUGUAGUUUUCACAUUUUUGUCUUUAUUUAUAAUUUAUGAGUGUGGCAAUAUUACCUAGAGAGGACAUCAUGAGUUUGGGAAAAGACUGUCAAGAAAGAAUAUCUAAAAAUUAUAACCGAUUCUAAGUAUAUACUUUAAGAAAUUCAGGUUUGACUGUAUCUACUUCAUAAAUUUAUCAUUAUCUUUUUAUAACUAUUAGAACCAGAGUUAGAAAGAAGCAGUUUGACUAAUACAAAAAUUAUGUGGAUUCUGUUAGAGUAGUUCAGGUUCCUUAAAAUAAGCAUAUAUCAACUAAAAAACUAAGUAUAAAAGCUAAAUAAGUGAAAUUGAAGCAGUUUUAUUGUAAGAUUUGGAAGAGUGCAGGAUGUUUAUCAUAGCACAUUAUUAAUAUUUAUUAUUCUUCCUAUGUAGAUAAGUGAUGGCCUAGAUUUACAACAUAGAAAAACAGGUAGAGACGUUUAGCUGUGAGUGUACAAGCAUAAAUCAGUUAAGUGCCAGAUGUUGAUAAUCACCAGCUGCUCAUUCAAGUCCUAUGUUGCAAAGUUACUCUUACCCUUUUUUUACAUUACUUGAUAAAGGCAAUGUUUAAUUAUGUAUUUCCUGUUAACUAGCUGGUAGAGUUCAUACCUAAAGUCAGUAAAUAAUGUUAAGAAUUUUUUCCAGCUGAGCAAAUGAAUAUGUGUCUAGUUGUAAGAAAUCAAGAAGAGGAUAUAAAAUAUAAUCAGGAUAUGGACUCUAAAACGGAAUAAGCUCUGUGUCCUGUAACUUUUUUCACUUGUAAUAAUACAGCAUUCUCACCCUGUUAAAUGGAAAUUUAGAGCACCCUUAAAUUCCAGAAUAAUUAAAAUUGCUAUUUGGAUUGAAAAGCCCUUAGGCAACAUUUAUUGAAUAUUAGGAAAUAACUUUUAUAAGAUUAGAAUCCAUUUUUUAUGGAAACCCAAUUUAAAAGUAUACAUGUUUUAAUAUAAGUGUUGUGGUAAUACAAUAACCAAAAUUGAACACACAGUUUUAAAGCUUUUUAUAUUUAGUAGCAGUUGAAUAUAUAUGGCAUGUUUUACAUAGAUUAAUUUUACUAUUUUUCUUUAUUUAAAAAAGAGAACCAAAUUGAAAGCCGACAGAUACUGCAGAUGACUGGGAUUUUUGUUUCUGUCUUACCUUUUUGUGUUUUUUUUCUGAAUAAAAUAUUCAGAGGAAAUGCUUUUACAGAGUUCUUGAGUUGUUGUGAAAUUAUUGUUUAGCUAGUAGCUAGUAUAACCAGGAUUAAACAAGUUUAAUCAGGAUUCUUCAUGGAUGUACUUUUUAG